This 498-nucleotide ribosomal RNA is filed under the name Mesabolivar cf. huambisa Br16-226a. Its description in RNAcentral is "partial 28S ribosomal RNA". The record is from RNAcentral. Lineage: Eukaryota; Metazoa; Arthropoda; Arachnida; Araneae; Pholcidae.
CUCGAAAAGGACGGGUCCCGCGACGCAGUCUCCGCCGUGCCGGACGCACUUCUCCCCGCACUCUGGACGCCGCAUCGGAUCGGGUAGCUGCGAGAGUCGGCCUUGAGGCGGUUCCWGGCAGGUGACCGGGCGCUGGGCUCCGUGCCCUUCGUCCGGUUAUUCACGGGACCGUUCGUGGCGCGACACCCGAUCGAGGUCAGGGUUCCCCUCACGGGGAACGCACCGUCUCCGUCUCCUUGGCGCGGUGCCGAGGCCAGUGAGCGCCGGCGAUGCCGAACCACUCCCCGUAGUGGCCGGUUCGACGGUUGCCGCCCAUGGGUCUCGGUCGACCGCUGGAGACACGGUAGCGGUUAGCGGCGAGUAGGUCGGUCACCCACCCGACCCGUCUUGAAACACGGACCAAGGAGUCURACAUGUGCGCGAGUCGCANGGUCUUGAACAGGCCCUCGRGCGCAAUGAAAGUGAAGGUCCCUCGCRGACCGAGUUGGGACUCCCUUC